Molecule: ribosomal RNA, 305 nt
Filed under: uncultured bacterium
Lineage: Bacteria
Description: bacterial SSU rRNA
Rfam family: Bacterial small subunit ribosomal RNA
Source: RNAcentral
UCUACCUACGGGGGGCAGCAGUGGGGGAUAUUGCACAAUGGGGGAAACCCUGAUGCAGCGACGCCGCGUGAGUGAAGAAGUAAUUCGUUACGUAAAGCUCUAUCAGCAGGGAAGAAAAUGACGGUACCUGACUAAGAAGCCCCGGCUAACUACGUGCCAGCAGCCGCGGUAAUACGUAGGGGGCAAGCGUUAUCCGGAAUUACUGGGUGUAAAGGGAGCGCAGACGGCAGUGCAAGUCUGGAGUGAAAGCCCACGGCCCAACCGUGGGACUGCUCUGGAAACUGUGCGGCUUGAGUGCGGGAGGG